Molecule: ribosomal RNA, 253 nt
Filed under: uncultured bacterium
Lineage: Bacteria
Description: partial 16S ribosomal RNA
Rfam family: Bacterial small subunit ribosomal RNA
Source: RNAcentral
UACGAAGGGGGCUAGCGUUGCUCGGAAUCACUGGGCGUAAAGGGUGCGUAGGCGGGUCUUUAAGUCAGGGGUGAAAUCCUGGAGCUCAACUCCAGAACUGCCUUUGAUACUGGCGAUCUUGAGUCCGGAAGAGGUGAGUGGAACUCCUAGUGUAGAGGUGGAAUUCGUAGAUAUUAGGAAGAACACCAGUGGCGAAGGCGGCUCACUGGUCCGGUACUGACGCUGAGGUGCGAAAGCGUGGGGAGCAAACAGG